This 253-nucleotide ribosomal RNA is filed under the name uncultured bacterium. Its description in RNAcentral is "partial 16S ribosomal RNA". It matches the Rfam family "Bacterial small subunit ribosomal RNA", at positions 524 to 776 of the family's 1533-position model. The record is from RNAcentral.
UACGAAGGGGGCGGGCGUUGUUCGGAAUUACUGGGCGUAAAGGGUCUGUAGGUGGCCAACUAAGUCAGACGUGAAAUCCCUCAGCUUAACUGGGGAACUGCGUCUGAUACUGGAUGGCUUGAGUGUGGGAGAGGAAUGCGGAAUUCCAGGUGUAGCGGUGAAAUGCGUAGAUAUCUGGAGGAACACCGGUGGCGAAGGCGGCAUUCUGGACCAUAACUGACACUGAGAGACGAAAGCCAGGGGAGCAAACGGG